This 500-nucleotide ribosomal RNA is filed under the name uncultured bacterium. RNAcentral describes it as "partial 16S ribosomal RNA". It matches the Rfam family "Bacterial small subunit ribosomal RNA", at positions 30 to 523 of the family's 1533-position model. The record is from RNAcentral.
AUUGAACGCUGGCGGCAUGCCUUACACAUGCAAGUCGAACGGCAGCACGGGAGCAAUCCUGGUGGCGAGUGGCGAACGGGUGAGUAAUAUAUCGGAACGUACCUUUCAGUGGGGGAUAACGUAGCGAAAGUUACGCUAAUACCGCAUAUUCUGUGAGCAGGAAAGCAGGGGAUCUUCGGACCUUGCGCUGAUUGAGCGGCCGAUAUCAGGUUAGCUAGUUGGUGAGGUAAAGGCUCACCAAGGCGACGAUCUGUAGCGGGUCUGAGAGGAUGAUCCGCCACACGGGAACUGGGACAGGGUCCAGACUCCUACGGGAGGCAGAAGUGGGGAAUUUUGGACAAUGGGGGCAACCCUGAUCCAGCCAUGCCGCGUGAGUGAAGAAGGCCUUCGGGUUGUAAAGCUCUUUCAGCCGGGAAGAAAACGCAUGGGUUAAUACCCUGUGUGGAUGACGGUACCGGAAUAAGAAGCACCGGCUAACUACGUGCCAGCAGCCGCCGUAA